Molecule: transfer RNA, 73 nt
Filed under: Candidatus Omnitrophota bacterium
Lineage: Bacteria; Pseudomonadati; Candidatus Omnitrophota
Description: tRNA-Thr
Rfam family: tRNA
About the family: Transfer RNA (tRNA) molecules are approximately 80 nucleotides in length. Their secondary structure includes four short double-helical elements and three loops (D, anti-codon, and T loops). Further hydrogen bonds mediate the characteristic L-shaped molecular structure. tRNAs have two regions of fundamental functional importance: the anti-codon, which is responsible for specific mRNA codon recognition, and the 3' end, to which the tRNAs corresponding amino acid is attached (by aminoacyl-tRNA synthetases). tRNAs cope with the degeneracy of the genetic code in two manners: having more than one tRNA (with a specific anti-codon) for a particular amino acid; and 'wobble' base-pairing, i.e. permitting non-standard base-pairing at the 3rd anti-codon position.
Source: RNAcentral
GCCCAGGUAGCUCAGUUGGUAGAGCAGGGGUUUUGUAAACCUCAGGUCGAAGGUUCGAGUCCUUUCCUGGGCU